AGAACGAACGCUGGCGGCAGGCCUAACACAUGCAAGUCGAACGAGAAGCCACCUUCGGGUGGUGGAAAGUGGCAGACGGGUGAGUAACGCGUGGGAACGUACCCUUUGGUUCGGAACAACUCCGGGAAACUGGAGCUAAAACCGGAUAAGCCCUACGGGGGAAAGAUUUAUCGCCGAAGGAUCGGCCCGCGUCGGAUUAGCUAGUUGGUGAGGUAACGGCUCACCAAGGCUACGAUCCGUAGCUGGUCUGAGAGGAUGAUCAGCCACACUGGGACUGAGACACGGCCCAGACUCCUACGGGAGCAGCAGUGGGGAAUAUUGGACAAUGGGCGCAAGCCUGAUCCAGCCAUGCCGCGUGAGUGAUGAAGGCCUUAGGGUUGUAAAGCUCUUCGCCAGGGACGAUAAUGACGGUACCUGGAUAAGAAGCCCCGGCUAACUUCGCGCCAGCAGCCGAC
RNAcentral lists this ribosomal RNA (455 nucleotides) under uncultured soil bacterium. RNAcentral describes it as "bacterial SSU rRNA". It matches the Rfam family "Bacterial small subunit ribosomal RNA", at positions 26 to 518 of the family's 1533-position model. The record is from RNAcentral.